ACAUGCAAGUCGAACGAUGAACCACUUCGGUGGGGAUUAGUGGCGAACGGGUUGAGUAACACGUUGGGCAAUCUGCCCUGCACUCUGGGACAAGCCCUGGAAACGGGGUCUAAUACCGGAUACUGACCCGCCUGGGCAUCCAGGCGGUUCGAAAGCUCCGGCGGUGCAGGAUGAGCCCGCGGCCUAUCAGCUUGUUGGUGAGGUAACGGCUCACCAAGGCGACGACGGGUAGCCGGCCUGAGAGGGCGACCGGCCACACUGGGACUGAGACACGGCCCAGACUCCUACGGGAGGCAGCAG
Molecule: ribosomal RNA, 300 nt
Filed under: Streptomyces sp. CNM-15-20
Lineage: Bacteria; Bacillati; Actinomycetota; Actinomycetes; Kitasatosporales; Streptomycetaceae
Description: bacterial SSU rRNA
Rfam family: Bacterial small subunit ribosomal RNA
Source: RNAcentral